CCUGCCUCGGCCUCCCAAAAUGCUGGGAUUAUAGGCGUGAACCACCGCGCCCAGCCUACUUUGACUUUUACUCUGUUAGGUUUUCCAGAAUGCUGACUCUUCUGCCCCGUGAACCAGGGACUCCAAAGAAUAAGAUUCAUGGGGGCAGGGGCAAGGAGUUAAUGUAUUCUUUCUGUCUGUGGCCAGCCAUCUUCCCUGGUACAUCUUCUUUUCUCAGUUCAAACUGAGGAAUGGGUUAGCUGGAACUGGAGUCUUUCUCUUCCCCUAUUUUCCUCUGAAAGAGUUCAGUGUAAAAGUUUUUUUACCCAUUAGCUGGGUGAGAAUGCCAGAUAAAUGGCAGAACAAGUUAAAAAUGAGAUUGUUCCCUCAACUUCAUGUGAAAGGUGGAGUAUUUGGCUAGAUAUUCUGUUUAUUGUUUAAUGGAUUGAACCUUGAAAAAUAAAAACCCCAUAAGAAUAGCA
This 461-nucleotide small RNA is filed under the name Pongo abelii (Sumatran orangutan). RNAcentral describes it as "sense intronic". The record is from RNAcentral. Lineage: Eukaryota; Metazoa; Chordata; Mammalia; Primates; Hominidae.